This is a non-coding RNA of Marasmius fiardii PR-910, 96 nucleotides long. The record is from the annotation of a GenBank genome assembly. Lineage: Eukaryota; Fungi; Basidiomycota; Agaricomycetes; Agaricales; Marasmiaceae.
ACACCGUUGGUGAAGUGGUUAUCAUGCUUGCCUUCCACUAGAGAAAGAGUCGGGUAGAUUAAGCAAGCGGCUCGGGUUCGAUUCCCGAACGGUGUA